UGUGUGUGUGUGUGUAAAAUCUUGUUGAUGGCCUGAUUUGCUGUCAACCAGUGCUUGUCAACCCAUUACUAGGCUUUCGUAGGGUGGAGACAGACGCCUGGAAAGCUGAAGGGCUGCAGGUCAUGCAUCAUUCUCCUUUUCUCAGAACACCUUUAUAUGAACAUGGAAUCAAGACUGAGUCUGGAACCCCCAACCCAUGGGAUCAUGCUUCAUUCAUGGAAGAUUUUCCUUCUACAGUUAAGCAGCUCUGGAAAUGCCCGUGAAGACACGUCAAGAGGCAUGUUUCCUCGAUGAUUCUUAAAAAAAAAAAUCAGUUUAGUAGAUGACAAAAUGACUGACCAUCACAGAUCACAGUCAUUGAAUGAUGUUAGUUCAACAGAAAAAGUGCACAUCUCCUUGUUGUGAUUAAGGAACGAAGAAGGCUCUAAAGUUGCUUCUUAACUGGACUCCACCUGAUUCUUGUAACAGCCUUGCCUUCAGUUUUGAAAUGGCCUUACCCAAGCUGCCUCUGAGUUUCUAAAUCCCGGAACUUUAAUACUACAGUUCCUCUGACUUCUGAAAGAAAGAUGAAAGUGCACAAGCUAGAGCCAUCUUGAGCAGUCCCACCAGCUGGAGACCAAGUAUUCAAAUUAUACCUAUGAGCCAAUUUUAAUGCACUC
Mus musculus (house mouse) is the source of this 659-nucleotide long non-coding RNA. RefSeq annotates it as predicted gene, 34075. The record is from RefSeq and is a predicted model, not a curated record. NCBI's taxonomy places the organism in Eukaryota, Metazoa, Chordata, Mammalia, Rodentia, Muridae. The transcript is spliced from 4 exons.